AAGGAAGGGUGUCUUGCUGAACCCAGGGCGAGCAGAUGCAAGGACAGGUUAACACAAGCAUACCCACGGAGGGCUCCGCCAUAUGUUCUAACUUUCAGAAACUGGUGCUGAUUCUGCCCUUCUGAGCCAUCCAGAUAUUUGUGAAAUGAGUCUUGGAACACUUUCCUUUUCGUUUCUGCGUGAGGAUUGUGAAUGACUAAAAAUGAUCACGCACGUGUUGCUAAAGCCCCUGGCAGACCAGAAGUGUGAUGUGACAGCUCGGAAGGGCGGGAGGGCAGGAGUCUUUUGUUCAUUUAUUCAUUCCUUCCUUCAUCCGACAAAUACGUACUACAAAGCUCCUGUGCUCAGGGCUCUGCGCUGGCCGCCGCUUCCAUCAGUGAGCAAGGAAAGUCCCUGUCUUCAUGGUGUUUUCAUCCUAGUCGGGGAGACAGGCAGAUGGAUGUGGGCCAGCUCGUCCCACAAAGAACUUUUGCGUAAGAUGCUGACUACAGCAAUGAAGAGGAGGAACAGAUUGCUAAGAGAGCACACAACAGGAAAGAUGACUUGUCUGCAGGAGUAGCUGAGGUGCCCUUGGCUUUGCUGCUUCACCUCCCAGAGCCUCACCUGUGGAAUGGGCACACUGCCAUUGGCUUCAUGAGGCUGCUGUGAGAAGUGGGGAAACUAAUGGAUGUGGAAAAGCACUUUGACAAGUGUUGGCUGCUCCCAUAACUCUCCUGGGUCCCUCGUAAUCCGGCACCAGCUCCAUGUUCUGCCCUCUCUUCUGGAGAAACCGAUUUAACAAUCCAACCUUGCCUGGACAAACAGAGGAAAACCCAUUCCAAAAACAACUGGCCUGAAAACCAUUUUCUUGGGAGGGAGGUGGAGAACUGACGAGCAUCCAGAUGCUUCGGCGGGGUCUCGUUGCUGAAAGCAGCGUCCUGCCGUGGCCUGGAAAGAGCACACGUGGGGGACAAGUUCCGAUCUCCCUUCCAUGUGUGCUGCAUACUGAACACCGCUCUGCCCUCUGGCCACAGCUUCUCAAAUGCUCUGUUUACGGAGACAUAUUUAAAAGACUCAGGAAAUGAACUCACAUUUUUUCCCUCCCCCUCCUUUUCCAGAACAGGGCAGCCUUCCUGGAAGAAAGCAAACAAAACAAGUGUGACUGUUUAAAAAAUUAUUGGAAAACCCGUUCUGAACACUCCAGCUUUGAGUGGCUCUCCUGGGCGGAGGACGCGUCACCUGCCGCUUCCUUCUGCCCUCACCCCGAGGGUGUAUCUGUGGGGAAGGGGCGGGGCAGCCGUGUGGCCUUGAAGGAGGAGGGAGCUGAAGGGCCUUAGCAGGCCCCAUGACCAGGCCCCCUCCCACACCCGUGUGCACCUGACACGCACAGACAGAUGGGAGCCCACAUGUGUGCCCCUGAAAUCAGAGAAUUCUCUCCCUCCCAAGUGCAGCCGACUUCUGCCCUGCGUGUGGGUGACUAUUUUGGGUUUCUAGGUGUUCUCGUUUGAUUUGUGGCAUUCUUGGUGCUGUUAUUAAUAACACCGUUGGCUGUACGGAGGCUGAAGAUGAAGCCUUUUCAUUGCAGCCAUCUGGUCAGAGUGCUUUUCCUUUGAUGAGGGAAAAACCUUUGCUGUGUUUCAACUGGAACGUUGCCUCCCAAUUAAGGUGACAGCAGAUGCCGAAUGGCCCCGUGUUUGCAGGAAGAGGAUGCUCAGCCAGGCUCUAAAGCGCCGGCUCUGUCCGGGAGGGAGCCGGCCUCGUAUUGAUCGUGCUUUGGCAUGCCGAGCAGGCUCCAACUCGAAGGGACUCGGCCAGGAAAGCCACCAUCAGGUGUUUACCGGCUGGGCUGGCUCCGCGCUCAGGUUUUCCAUUGUCAAGCAGUGACAGCGAUGCGUUACAGACACCCUCAGGAGACGUUCCUCUGCUUUCAUAACAAUGAAGGAUUUUUUUUUUUUUCUGACUCAUCUUCAGAAGACUCCCCCCUCUUCUUCAUUUGAAAAUAAAUAUAAUUAGUAACAGGCA
This is a long non-coding RNA of Ursus americanus (American black bear), 2001 nucleotides long. The record is from Ensembl. NCBI's taxonomy places the organism in Eukaryota, Metazoa, Chordata, Mammalia, Carnivora, Ursidae.